CAUCUAGGCAGAUGAAGUUGCCUAGAUCAUCCGAUUUGGGAACUGUGCUAGAAGAAAGAGCACGAUGGAAGGAAGAUGUCAGGGCGCGCGACCCGCACAGAGUUUCAGCCCUUCAGCGGUUGGCUCCUCGGACGCAUAGGAGCAUCGAGGUAGGAAUGCCAAUACCGCGCCUUGCUUAUGAGCCAACAUACAAAGCAUUAGCAAGGCUGCAGACCUCGCCGUUCGUUCCGGCAAUUGAGAACGCACCACUACCUUCGGGCUUUCACCAGCCCAACUUCACUACUUAUGAGGGGAAGACGGACCCCUACUUGCACUUAAGCCACUUUCGCCAGGUUAUGGCUGUAAUACCCCUGUUUUGUAGUAUGCUAAUUGGUCCGUAAUAUGAGUAUGAUGAUGUGUUUAAUAUGAUUUUAUGUGUCAUUUUGUGAAUAUAUGUGAUUUCGAAGUUCUAUCUGUUCACCGUAGGAAUAUCUGUUUGAAUAAUCUGCUUUGGAAAUUAAAUUGAAGGCCUUAUCGGCCACAGAACCCGAAAUUGAUUACGCCAUUGUGAUUGGCAUAAUUUUUUAGAACCUACGGUGAAAUUUAAUUGAAAAUUGAUUCGGGUCAGAUAAAAUCGAUUAAAUUGAUGAAUUAGAACUCAACUACUUUAUUACUAUUAUAU
RNAcentral lists this small RNA (661 nucleotides) under Camellia sinensis. RNAcentral describes it as "transcribed RNA". The record is from RNAcentral. Lineage: Eukaryota; Viridiplantae; Streptophyta; Magnoliopsida; Ericales; Theaceae.